This 514-nucleotide ribosomal RNA is filed under the name Botryosphaeria dothidea. RNAcentral describes it as "eukaryotic LSU rRNA". The stretch from base 154 to 307 matches the Rfam family "5.8S ribosomal RNA". Lineage: Eukaryota; Fungi; Ascomycota; Dothideomycetes; Botryosphaeriales; Botryosphaeriaceae. The record is from RNAcentral.
CCUCCCACCCUUUGUGUACCUACCUCUGUUGCUUUGGCGGGCCGCGGUCCUCCGCGGCCGCCCCCCUCCCCGGGGGGGUGGCCAGCGCCCGCCAGAGGACCAUCAAACUCCAGUCAGUAAACGAUGCAGUCUGAAAAACAUUUAAUAAACUAAAACUUUCAACAACGGAUCUCUUGGUUCUGGCAUCGAUGAAGAACGCAGCGAAAUGCGAUAAGUAAUGUGAAUUGCAGAAUUCAGUGAAUCAUCGAAUCUUUGAACGCACAUUGCGCCCUUUGGUAUUCCGAAGGGCAUGCCUGUUCGAGCGUCAUUACAACCCUCAAGCUCUGCUUGGUAUUGGGCACCGUCCUUUGCGGGCGCGCCUCAAAGACCUCGGCGGUGGCGUCUUGCCUCAAGCGUAGUAGAACAUACAUCUCGCUUCGGAGCGCAGGGCGUCGCCCGCCGGACGAACCUUCUGAACUUUUCUCAAGGUUGACCUCGGAUCAGGUAGGGAUACCCGCUGAACUUAAGCAAAAAA